Molecule: unclassified non-coding RNA, 1050 nt
Filed under: Leptinotarsa decemlineata (Colorado potato beetle)
Lineage: Eukaryota; Metazoa; Arthropoda; Insecta; Coleoptera; Chrysomelidae
Description: apolipoprotein D-like, transcript variant X3
Source: RNAcentral
CUGUAUUUCCAAACAUGUUAACAUUUCAAAAAUCAUUACGAUGACUGUUAACAUUAGAUAUCUACUCCAGUUUUUCGCAUACAAUAUCCGUUAGUGAUAAUAAAAAUUCACAAAGAAUACGGGACACAUUGUCUCUGAUAUUUUUAAAAGAAGAAUUCGAUGACCACAAUCAUCGUCGUUGGUGAACAAAAAAACCAAACAACUUUGAGGGUGAUAUUAAACUGGAUAAUAAAACAGGAGAAGCUAAGCUGAUCAUGGGGAUUCCUUCUAUGAACAUUGACGUUCCCUAUUGGGUGUUGGAUACAGAUUAUAAAGAAUACGCUGUAGUAUGGUCCUGUAUACAGGAAGGAAAAUUUUCCGUAAGGUUCUGUUGGAUUCUCACCCGUAAAAAUACUUCUAGGAAAGAAAUAAUGGAAAGAGCAUAUGAUGUUCUGAAAAAACAAAAUAUAUCAAGGCGUCCUAUUGAGAAGACAAGUCAAAAAAAUUGUAAAGCAAACUGAAAAAUGUGAAACAGAAUAUAAAUCUCACCAUAUCAACACCCAGUUUCGAUGUUCUUUUUCGUAUAUGAUCACAUGACUGUACAACUGGAUUCCUGAUGAAUUUGUAAGAUUAAAUAUUUUGAGUUUCAAGCGACGAACUAAAAGAAGACUCCACGAAUGUGAGCUGAACUUUUGACAGUUAUUUUCUGUACUCAAAAAACUUUCCCUUUUUUUUUAUUGUUGCAUUCUAGUACCACUUUUGCAAUUUUGUUUUUUUUCCCACCCAAUGCUCAAUUUUCCAUAAAAGGUAGUCAUUUCAUGAUUACAUAUGUAUAAGGAAUUUUAUUGUUGAGUCCUGCACUCUAGCUAUAGUUACCAGUUUUUUUUUUUGGAAGGUUGAGUGGAAGAGAGUAUUUGUCUGUCUUCUGUGGUACCGACAAAAGUUAACCUCUGCCUUUUGGUUGACUUCCUUCAUCUGUUCCUUUUUUCAUCAUGUGUUACUUGUAUUUUUCUACCAAUAAAAACGUUAAUUCUUAUUAUUAUUAUUGUCAGCAAAUUAAUGAAUAAAUAU